Molecule: transfer RNA, 66 nt
Filed under: Eubranchipus grubii
Lineage: Eukaryota; Metazoa; Arthropoda; Branchiopoda; Anostraca; Chirocephalidae
Description: tRNA-Leu
Source: RNAcentral
UCUAAUGUGGCAGAAACAUUAUGCAAUGGACUUAAGCUCCAUCCAAGGGAUACUUCCCCUUUAGAA